Molecule: ribosomal RNA, 2925 nt
Filed under: Enterobacter roggenkampii
Lineage: Bacteria; Pseudomonadati; Pseudomonadota; Gammaproteobacteria; Enterobacterales; Enterobacteriaceae
Description: 23S ribosomal RNA
Rfam family: Bacterial large subunit ribosomal RNA
Source: RNAcentral
GGGUUGUGAGGUUAAGCGACUAAGCGUACACGGUGGAUGCCCUGGCAGUCAGAGGCGAUGAAGGACGUGCUAAUCUGCGAAAAGCGCCGGCGAGGUGAUAUGAACCUUUGACCCGGCGAUGUCCGAAUGGGGAAACCCAGUGUGAUUCGUCACACUAUCGUUAACUGAAUACAUAGGUUAACGAGGCGAACCGGGGGAACUGAAACAUCUAAGUACCCCGAGGAAAAGAAAUCAACCGAGAUUCCCCCAGUAGCGGCGAGCGAACGGGGAGCAGCCCAGAGUCUGAAUCAGCUUGUGUGUUAGUGGAAGCGUCUGGAAAGUCGCACGGUACAGGGUGACAGUCCCGUACACGAAAGCACACAGGUUGUGAACUCGAAGAGUAGGGCGGGACACGUGGUAUCCUGUCUGAAUAUGGGGGGACCAUCCUCCAAGGCUAAAUACUCCUGACUGACCGAUAGUGAACCAGUACCGUGAGGGAAAGGCGAAAAGAACCCCGGCGAGGGGAGUGAAACAGAACCUGAAACCGUGUACGUACAAGCAGUGGGAGCACCUUCGUGGUGUGACUGCGUACCUUUUGUAUAAUGGGUCAGCGACUUAUAUUCUGUAGCAAGGUUAACCGUAUAGGGGAGCCGAAGGGAAACCGAGUCUUAACUGGGCGUUAAGUUGCAGGGUAUAGACCCGAAACCCGGUGAUCUAGCCAUGGGCAGGUUGAAGGUUGGGUAACACUAACUGGAGGACCGAACCGACUAAUGUUGAAAAAUUAGCGGAUGACUUGUGGCUGGGGGUGAAAGGCCAAUCAAACCGGGAGAUAGCUGGUUCUCCCCGAAAGCUAUUUAGGUAGCGCCUCGUGAACUCAUCUUCGGGGGUAGAGCACUGUUUCGGCUAGGGGGCCAUCCCGGCUUACCAACCCGAUGCAAACUACGAAUACCGAAGAAUGUUAUCACGGGAGACACACGGCGGGUGCUAACGUCCGUCGUGAAGAGGGAAACAACCCAGACCGCCAGCUAAGGUCCCAAAGUCAUGGUUAAGUGGGAAACGAUGUGGGAAGGCACAGACAGCCAGGAUGUUGGCUUAGAAGCAGCCAUCAUUUAAAGAAAGCGUAAUAGCUCACUGGUCGAGUCGGCCUGCGCGGAAGAUGUAACGGGGCUAAACCAUGCACCGAAGCUGCGGCAGCGACACUAUGUGUUGUUGGGUAGGGGAGCGUUCUGUAAGCCGUUGAAGGUGGCCUGUGAGGGUUGCUGGAGGUAUCAGAAGUGCGAAUGCUGACAUAAGUAACGAUAAAGCGGGUGAAAAGCCCGCUCGCCGGAAGACCAAGGGUUCCUGUCCAACGUUAAUCGGGGCAGGGUGAGUCGACCCCUAAGGCGAGGCCGAAAGGCGUAGUCGAUGGGAAACAGGUUAAUAUUCCUGUACUUGGUGUUACUGCGAAGGGGGGACGGAGAAGGCUAUGUUAGCCGGGCGACGGUUGUCCCGGUUUAAGCAUGUAGGCGGAGGUUCCAGGUAAAUCCGGUACCUUUUAACGCUGAGGUGUGAUGACGAGGCACUACGGUGCUGAAGUAACAAAUGCCCUGCUUCCAGGAAAAGCCUCUAAGCAUCAGGUAACAUCAAAUCGUACCCCAAACCGACACAGGUGGUCAGGUAGAGAAUACCAAGGCGCUUGAGAGAACUCGGGUGAAGGAACUAGGCAAAAUGGUGCCGUAACUUCGGGAGAAGGCACGCUGAUAUGUAGGUGAAGCCCCUGCGGGUGGAGCUGAAAUCAGUCGAAGAUACCAGCUGGCUGCAACUGUUUAUUAAAAACACAGCACUGUGCAAACACGAAAGUGGACGUAUACGGUGUGACGCCUGCCCGGUGCCGGAAGGUUAAUUGAUGGGGUUAGCGGUAACGCGAAGCUCUUGAUCGAAGCCCCGGUAAACGGCGGCCGUAACUAUAACGGUCCUAAGGUAGCGAAAUUCCUUGUCGGGUAAGUUCCGACCUGCACGAAUGGCGUAAUGAUGGCCAGGCUGUCUCCACCCGAGACUCAGUGAAAUUGAACUCGCUGUGAAGAUGCAGUGUACCCGCGGCAAGACGGAAAGACCCCGUGAACCUUUACUAUAGCUUGACACUGAACACUGGUCCUUGAUGUGUAGGAUAGGUGGGAGGCUUUGAAGUGUGGACGCCAGUCUGCAUGGAGCCGUCCUUGAAAUACCACCCUUUAAUGGCUGGUGUUCUAACGUAGACCCGUGAUCCGGGUUGCGGACAGUGUCUGGUGGGUAGUUUGACUGGGGCGGUCUCCUCCCAAAGAGUAACGGAGGAGCACGAAGGUUAGCUAAUCCUGGUCGGACAUCAGGAGGUUAGUGCAAUGGCAUAAGCUAGCUUGACUGCGAGAGUGACGGCUCGAGCAGGUGCGAAAGCAGGUCAUAGUGAUCCGGUGGUUCUGAAUGGAAGGGCCAUCGCUCAACGGAUAAAAGGUACUCCGGGGAUAACAGGCUGAUACCGCCCAAGAGUUCAUAUCGACGGCGGUGUUUGGCACCUCGAUGUCGGCUCAUCACAUCCUGGGGCUGAAGUAGGUCCCAAGGGUAUGGCUGUUCGCCAUUUAAAGUGGUACGCGAGCUGGGUUUAGAACGUCGUGAGACAGUUCGGUCCCUAUCUGCCGUGGGCGCUGGAGAAUUGAGGGGGGCUGCUCCUAGUACGAGAGGACCGGAGUGGACGCAUCACUGGUGUUCGGGUUGUCAUGCCAAUGGCACUGCCCGGUAGCUAAAUGCGGAAAAGAUAAGUGCUGAAAGCAUCUAAGCACGAAACUUGCCCCGAGAUGAGUUCUCCCUGAGACUUUAAGUCUCCUGAAGGAACGUUGAAGACGACGACGUUGAUAGGUCGGGUGUGUAAGCGCAGCGAUGCGUUGAGCUAACCGAUACUAAUGAACCGUGAGGCUUAACCUUACAACGCCGAAG